CCUACGGGAGGCAGCAGUAGGGAAUCUUCCACAAUGGGCGAAAGCCUGAUGGAGCAACGCCGCGUGGGUGAAGAAGGUCUUCGGAUCGUAAAACCCUGUUGUUAGAGAAGAAAGUGCGUGAGAGUAACUGUUCACGUUUCGACGGUAUCUAACCAGAAAGCCACGGCUAACUACGUGCCAGCAGCCGCGGUAAUACGUAGGUGGCAAGCGUUAUCCGGAUUUAUUGGGCGUAAAGGGAACGCAGGCGGUCUUUUAAGUAUGAUGUGAAAGCCUUCGGCUUAACCGGAGUAGUGCAUUGGAAACUGGGAGACUUGAGUGCAGAAGAGGAGAGUGGAACUCCAUGUGUAGCGGUGAAAUGCGUAGAUAUAUGGAAGAACACCAGUGGCGAAAGCGGCUCUCUGGGCUGUAACUGACGCUGAGGUUCGAAAGCGUGGGUAGCAAACAGGAUUAGAUACCCGAGUAGUC
RNAcentral lists this ribosomal RNA (465 nucleotides) under uncultured bacterium. RNAcentral describes it as "partial 16S ribosomal RNA". It matches the Rfam family "Bacterial small subunit ribosomal RNA", at positions 338 to 795 of the family's 1533-position model. The record is from RNAcentral.